Molecule: transfer RNA, 73 nt
Filed under: Phytophthora infestans T30-4
Lineage: Eukaryota; Oomycota; Peronosporomycetes; Peronosporales; Peronosporaceae
Description: tRNA-Asn for anticodon GUU
Rfam family: tRNA
About the family: Transfer RNA (tRNA) molecules are approximately 80 nucleotides in length. Their secondary structure includes four short double-helical elements and three loops (D, anti-codon, and T loops). Further hydrogen bonds mediate the characteristic L-shaped molecular structure. tRNAs have two regions of fundamental functional importance: the anti-codon, which is responsible for specific mRNA codon recognition, and the 3' end, to which the tRNAs corresponding amino acid is attached (by aminoacyl-tRNA synthetases). tRNAs cope with the degeneracy of the genetic code in two manners: having more than one tRNA (with a specific anti-codon) for a particular amino acid; and 'wobble' base-pairing, i.e. permitting non-standard base-pairing at the 3rd anti-codon position.
Source: Rfam by way of RNAcentral
UUUCCUAUAGCUCAGUUGGUAGAGCGUGCGGCUGUUAACCUCAAGGUCGCUGGUUCAAAUUCAGCUGGGAGAG